UGGAUCUUAGUGGCGAACGGGUGAGUAACGCGUAGGCAAUCUGCCUUCUAGAUGGGGACAACAUCCCGAAAGGGGUGCUAAUACCGAAUGUUGUAGUUGGUUCGCAUGGACUAGCUACUAAAGGUGGCCUCUGAAUAUGCUACCGCUAGAAGAUGAGCCUGCGUCUGAUUAGCUAGUUGGAGGGGUAACGGCCCACCAAGGCUUCGAUCAGUAGCCGGUCUGAGAGGAUGAACGGCCACACUGGGACUGAGACACGGCCCAGACUCCUACGGGAGGCAGCAGUGGGGAAUCUUCCGCAAUGGACGAAAGUCUGACGGAGCAACGCCGCGUGAGUGAAGAAGGUUUUCGGAUCGUAAAGCUCUUUCGUUAGGGACGAACGUGCUCUUUGUGAAUAAUGAGGAGUAAUGACGGUACCUAAAUAAGAAGCCACGGCUAACUACGUGCCAGCAGCCGCGGUAAUACGUA
Molecule: ribosomal RNA, 465 nt
Filed under: uncultured Anaeromusa sp.
Lineage: Bacteria; Bacillati; Bacillota; Negativicutes; Selenomonadales; Sporomusaceae
Description: partial 16S ribosomal RNA
Rfam family: Bacterial small subunit ribosomal RNA
Source: RNAcentral